Molecule: ribosomal RNA, 403 nt
Filed under: bacterium
Lineage: Bacteria
Description: partial 16S ribosomal RNA
Rfam family: Bacterial small subunit ribosomal RNA
Source: RNAcentral
UGGGGAAUAUUGCACAAUGGAGGGAACUCUGAUGCAGCGACGCCGCGUGAACGAAGAAGGCUUUCGAGUCGUAAAGUUCUUUUAUAUGGGAAGAUAAUGACGGUACCAUAAGAAAAAGCCCCGGCUAACUACGUGCCAGCAGCCGCGGUAAUACGUAGGGGGCUAGCGUUGUCCGGAAUCACUGGGCGUAAAGGGUUCGCAGGCGGAAAUGCAAGUCAGGUGUAAAAGGCAGUAGCUUAACUACUGUAAGCAUUUGAAACUGCAUAUCUUGAGAAGAGUAGAGGUAAGUAGAAUUUUUAGUGUAGCGGUGAAAUGCGUAGAUAUUAAAAAGAAUACCGGUGGCGAGGGCGGCUUACUGGGCUCAUUCUGACGCUGAGGAACGAAAGCGUGGGUAGCAAACAGG